This 599-nucleotide ribosomal RNA is filed under the name Klebsiella oxytoca. RNAcentral's name for it is "bacterial SSU rRNA". It matches the Rfam family "Bacterial small subunit ribosomal RNA", at positions 62 to 651 of the family's 1533-position model. Lineage: Bacteria; Pseudomonadati; Pseudomonadota; Gammaproteobacteria; Enterobacterales; Enterobacteriaceae. The record is from RNAcentral.
UCAAACGGUAGCACAGAAGAGCUUGCUCUCGGGUGACGAGUGGCGGACGGGUGAGUAAUGUCUGGGAAACUGCCCGAUGGAGGGGGAUAACUACUGGAAACGGUAGCUAAUACCGCAUAACGUCGCAAGACCAAAGAGGGGGACCUUCGGGCCUCUUGCCAUCGGAUGUGCCCAGAUGGGAUUAGCUUGUAGGUGAGGUAACGGCUCACCUAGGCGACGAUCCCUAGCUGGUCUGAGAGGAUGACCAGCCACACUGGAACUGAGACACGGUCCAGACUCCUACGGGAGGCAGCAGUGGGGAAUAUUGCACAAUGGGCGCAAGCCUGAUGCAGCCAUGCCGCGUGUAUGAAGAAGGCCUUCGGGUUGUAAAGUACUUUCAGCGGGGAGGAAGGGAGUGAGGUUAAUAACCUUAUUCAUUGACGUUACCCGCAGAAGAAGCGCCGGCUAACUCCGUGCCAGCAGCCGCGGUAAUACGGAGGGUGCAAGCGUUAAUCGGAAUUACUGGGCGUAAAGCGCACGCAGGCGGUCUGUCAAGUCGGAUGUGAAAUCCCCGGGCUCAACCUGGGAACUGCAUUCAAAACUGGCAGGCUGGAGUCUUG